This 1137-nucleotide long non-coding RNA is filed under the name Homo sapiens (human). RNAcentral describes it as "HSALNT0098217". The record is from RNAcentral. Lineage: Eukaryota; Metazoa; Chordata; Mammalia; Primates; Hominidae.
UCUCACACACACACACACUCUGUCUCUGUCUUUCUUCUCACACACACACACACACUCUGUCUCUCUUUCUUCUCACACACACACACACACUCUGUCUCUCUGUCUUUCUUCUCUCUCUCACACACACACUCUGUCUCUCUUUCUUCUCUCUCACACACACACACACUCUGUCUCUCUGUCUUCUCUCUCUCUCUCACACACACACACUCUGUCUCUCUGUCUUCUCUCUCUCACACACACACACACUCUGUCUCUCUUUCUUCUCUCUCUCACACACACACACACUCUGUCUUCUCUCUCACAUACACACACACACACUCUGUCUCUCUGUCUUUCUUCUCUCACACACACACUCUGUCUCUCUGUCUUCUCUCUCUCUCUCUCUCACACACACACGCUGUCUCUCUUUCUUCUCUCUCUCACACACACACUGUCUCUCUUUCUUCUCUCUCUCUCACACACACACACACACUCUGUCUCUCUGUCUUUCUUCUCUCUCUCACACACACACUGUCUCUCUUUCUUCUCUCUCUCACACACACACACACACUGUCUCUCUGUCUUUCUUCUCUCUCUCACACACAUACACUCUCUCUUUCUUCUCUCUCUCUCUCUCUCACACACACACAUACACACACACAUACUGUGCAAUGCAGUAGAAAAAAAUUCCCCAGUACAGGGAAGCAUGAGACCCAAGUUUUGGUUCUUCUUUCUGGACUUCAGUGUUCCCAUCGAUAAAAUGAUCAGUGGUCACCAGCUGAGGGCUAUGGGCCCCAUCCUGACUGCAGAUGUGUUGAUUGAUCCAAAGUAUUGAAAAACAAAGCAUUUAAACAUUUACCUACAUUAAAAAAAAUCAGAGACUUUGCCUAGAAAAAAAAAUCUUGUUCCUCACUUGAACAAGAUUCUUUUGAAAUUCCUAAGGUCUAGCAAAACUGGGUUUGCAUUUUCCAAGGCUAAAUCUGCCUGGCACUAAGUGGCAGCUGUCCCUCUGAAACCGAGUGUAUUCUUGCGUGCAAGCCACAGUCCCCACCAUUCCCAAACGCUGCACACCCUAUGGGCUUCCCUAUUCAAUGAUGCAUCUUACUGCCUGGCCCUGCGGUGACUGUGCCUCCAUCCGCACAUUAGGAGUGUUUCAUU